UGAAAUUUAUGAAAAAUGCGAAAAACCGGGCGAAAUAUAAAUGAAAUCAGACAGGCAGCCGUCCGACAGACACACCGCGGCGGCGAACAAACGAAAAACCUCCGACGGGGUGAGUACGGUGUGUGGCUUGGCAUGAUGCCAAGCGGGUUGCAGUUCGAUUUCGUGUGUACCCCUUAUGUGUGGCGGCGUAUGAUGAAGGGGGCACAUACGCCCGGCGUGCAGGUCGGUACGCAAACACCGUGACGCACAGAUGCACACGAAGAGAGACUCGACGGAGACACGUUGUAGUUUUUG
This is a non-coding RNA of Caenorhabditis elegans, 294 nucleotides long. The record is from Ensembl. Lineage: Eukaryota; Metazoa; Nematoda; Chromadorea; Rhabditida; Rhabditidae.